RNAcentral lists this ribosomal RNA (515 nucleotides) under Shigella sonnei. Its description in RNAcentral is "partial 23S ribosomal RNA". It matches the Rfam family "Bacterial large subunit ribosomal RNA", at positions 474 to 989 of the family's 2925-position model. Lineage: Bacteria; Pseudomonadati; Pseudomonadota; Gammaproteobacteria; Enterobacterales; Enterobacteriaceae. The record is from RNAcentral.
UCCUGACUGACCGAUAGUGAACCAGUACCGUGAGGGAAAGGCGAAAAGAACCCCGGCGAGGGGAGUGAAAAAGAACCUGAAACCGUGUACGUACAAGCAGUGGGAGCACGCUUAGGCGUGUGACUGCGUACCUUUUGUAUAAUGGGUCAGCGACUUAUAUUCUGUAGCAAGGUUAACCGAAUAGGGGAGCCGAAGGGAAACCGAGUCUUAACUGGGCGUUAAGUUGCAGGGUAUAGACCCGAAACCCGGUGAUCUAGCCAUGGGCAGGUUGAAGGUUGGGUAACACUAACUGGAGGACCGAACCGACUAAUGUUGAAAAAUUAGCGGAUGACUUGUGGCUGGGGGUGAAAGGCCAAUCAAACCGGGAGAUAGCUGGUUCUCCCCGAAAGCUAUUUAGGUAGCGCCUCGUGAAUUCAUCUCCGGGGGUAGAGCACUGUUUCGGCAAGGGGGUCAUCCCGACUUACCAACCCGAUGCAAACUGCGAAUACCGGAGAAUGUUAUCACGGGAGACACAC